CGGGCUUGAACUGCAGCUGAACGAUUCAGAGAUGAUGAGGCCCUUCGGGGCUGCCACGGAGGUGCUGCAUGGUUGUCGUCAGCUCGUGCCGUGAGGUGUCGGCUUAAGUGCCAUAACGAGCGCAACCCCUGUCUACGGUUGCCAUCAGGUAAUGCUGGGAACUCCGUAGAGACUGCCGUCGUAAGGCGUGAGGAAGGUGGGGAUGACGUCAAAUCAGCACGGCCCUUACGUCCGGGGCUACACACGUGUUACAAUGGCGCAUACAGAGUGUUGGUUUCAUGCAAAUGAGAUCUAAUCUUCAAAGUGCGUCUCAGUUCGGACUGGGGUCUGCAACCCGACCCCACGAAGCUGGAUUCGCUAGUAAUCGCGCAUCAGCCAUGGCGCGGUGAAUACGUUCCCGGGCC
Molecule: ribosomal RNA, 404 nt
Filed under: uncultured bacterium
Lineage: Bacteria
Description: bacterial SSU rRNA
Rfam family: Bacterial small subunit ribosomal RNA
Source: RNAcentral